Molecule: ribosomal RNA, 253 nt
Filed under: uncultured bacterium
Lineage: Bacteria
Description: partial 16S ribosomal RNA
Rfam family: Bacterial small subunit ribosomal RNA
Source: RNAcentral
UACAGAGGUCCCGAGCGUUGUUCGGAUUCACUGGGCGUAAAGGGUGCGUAGGUGGUGAGGUAAGUCGGAUGUGAAAUCUCCGGGCUUAACCCGGAAAUGGCAUUGGAAACUACCUUGCUGGAGGAUUUGAGGGGGGAUUGGAAUACUUGGUGUAGCAGUGAAAUGCGUAGAUAUCAAGUGGAACACCAGUGGCGAAGGCGAAUCCCUGGAAAAUACCUGACACUGAGGCACGAAAGCUAGGGGAGCAAACAGG